GAGUUUGAUCCUGGCUCAGAUUGAACGCUGGCGGCAUGCCUUACACAUGCAAGUCGAACGGCAGCACGGGAGCUUGCUCCUGGUGGCGAGUGGCGAACGGGUGAGUAAUGCAUCGGAACGUAUCCUGGAGUGGGGGAUAACGUAGCGAAAGUUACGCUAAUACCGCAUAUUCUGUGAGCAGGAAAGCGGGGGACCUUCGGGCCUCGCGCCCUUGGAGCGGCCGAUGUCGGAUUAGCUAGUUGGUGAGGUAAAGGCUCACCAAGGCGACGAUCCGUAGCAGGUCUGAGAGGAUGAUCUGCCACACUGGAACUGAGACACGGUCCAGACUCCUACGGGAGGCAGCAGUGGGGAAUUUUGGACAAUGGGGGCAACCCUGAUCCAGCCAUGCCGCGUGAGUGAAGAAGGCC
This 407-nucleotide ribosomal RNA is filed under the name bacterium enrichment culture clone ALO1_GLFRUDD03GKG4X. RNAcentral describes it as "bacterial SSU rRNA". It matches the Rfam family "Bacterial small subunit ribosomal RNA", at positions 9 to 416 of the family's 1533-position model. The record is from RNAcentral.